AAGAGUCCUAAACCAACCUGAGGAACAACGCAAGAUACCCUGCAGGGUUAUCAGCCUCCUACAAGGGAGUCCCAGGCCCAAGACUCUAUCCAGAAAGAUUCUCCAUUCCUCAUUUUCCUCUAUGGCUACCAGUCAAUUUCUGAGGGUCUUGCUCUGUCACCCAAGCUGGAGUGCAAUGGUGUAAUCAUAGCUCACUGCAACCUCGACUCCUGGGCUCAACUCUCACUUCAGGCAUCUUCCUUCUUCAUUCUGGAUCCCCAAGGGCAUGCUGGCUGUCCUCUGGAGGCAAUCAGAGAUGAGUCUUGCUCUGUCACCCAGACUGGAGUACACUGGCACGAUGUCAGCUCACUGCAACCUCUACCUCCUGGGUUCAAGUGAUUCUCCUGCCUCAGCCUCCUCAGGACACUUCUUUGUCUGCAAAUGCGUCUUCUCAUUUUACCCACCUGUGACUACGAAGUAGUUUAAAUCUAAAGAAGCAAGUCUUUGGUUUUCUUCUAUGUCUUCCUUUUUCCUUCUGGAAAUCCUAUUACUAGACAAUUUAAGUCUCUACCUAAAGGGUCCUCUCUGUCUUGUAUCUGUGUAUUUCUCUUGGUAUUUAGUAUAUUUUGUUUUGUUUUGCUCUGGGUUAUGGGGAUCCCACUAAAUGCUAUUUUGAUUUUCAGAAGUAAUGAUUCUCUUUAAUUUCUACACUGAAUGUCUAAAUUUAGAAAUCAUACUUUUCAGUUCCAUAAUUUCAUUUUUUAAUGCUCUAAUUGUAUCUUCUUAAAUGUCCUCAUUAUGCUUCUCCUCCUCGUUAGGUUUUAACUGAAGUUUACUUCUCUUUCUCUUAUUAAUUCUAUGUCUAUGUUAGUCAUAUUUUCUGGUCAUGCAAUUUGGUCUGUCUCUGGGAAAUUGCAUGUUUCCUUUGCAAGUCAGUUGUUGGAAUUCUUCAAGCCAUAGUGAACUGACUGCCACUGGAUGGGCCAGCAGUCAUGAGACAGGCAGCUGGGACUUUCUGUUGAGGUUUUUGGGGGCAUGGUAUCUGUUCUCAGAUGCAAGAAGUGAAACCUUUUUUUCUAGUGCCACUGAAAUCAAUGGAAUUGAUCAGUUUCUCCCAGAUGAUGGUCAUAGCAAGGCAGUAAGGCAGCCAGAUUUGGAUCCUCAUCUCUAGAUACCAAACUAUGAGCUCUGAGCUGUGUCUGGACUCUUCAUUUGGUGGUUGAAUUGUCCUAGCUGGGAGGGACUGAAAAUCAAAAGUGAUCAGCCAAUACAGGUUGUCAUUUUCCCUGAAUUUCCCAAGGAUAGGCAAAUACAGCUCUGUUGGCCCGAGUCAGUGGGACUCUGCAGGACAGUGUUUCCUAGCUCCACUCGGCAGCUUUGGCUCAGUCUCAGUAGUCACAGCAAUGGUACUCCUCCAUUCAUUUUUUUGCCCCUUGGGCUAAUCCAUGAAAAUAAAGUAAAAAUUUUAAGUUCCAGCCACCCUAGUGACAAAAUUCAAAAUCCCAGUUUUUAGGAGAAAAAGUACGAAAAGAAAACCUUCUGUUAACUUUUCAACAAGUUUUCCUCUGCCUUACUUUCUCUAUCUGGUACUAGACCUCUUACUUGUGAGUCAACAUCUGCUGUUCCAUGUGGCCUGGCUUGUAGAGUCCUGUGUGUUGUAACCUCUGGUGAUUACAGGUCUAUUACACUUUGCUUAGAGAUCAACAGAGUGACAUCCUAGGGUCUCAGCCUCAACCCUCCAGGCCGCAAGGCUCCCAACUCCACUCCACCAUCCUUGACUUGUGGAACAUGCAUCCUCCUGGGGAUAAACCUCUACCGAGAUGUUCUUGUAAGAGUGGCUGGAAGUGCCUGCAUCAGAAACUCACGAAAGCUGAUAAAGUUGCAGAGUCCUUGCUUUCCUCACGUGGGAGUGGGGAGCUGCUGUUGGCAUUUAAGAUGAUUCUGAUUCAUGCUACAAUUUGACAACCUACAAAGCCACAUGGAAGAAAACUCUCUUCCACAUGGCCUGAAGAGACCUAAGCAUCCACGUGCUCACUGCUCUCAGUGCUCAGAGAACACCUGGGAAAUUGUCUUUGAAUUAUAUAGAACAAGUUGUCCACUAAAUGAAUAACAUCUGGAAGCAUUCCAACCUGGUAAAGCCCCUUGAAUGUUGCCUAUGAUGUGGGCGCAUUUGAUUCCAGGUCAUAUGUGCAAUGCUCUGCUGCAGACACUUUAGCUUUCAGAUUUUGUGGGCUACUGUUAUAGGAACACAGGUCUAUGCAAUGAGGUCUUGUAGCUGCUUCCUAAGCUUUGCACAUCAAUCCAUCAGCUCUAAAAUUCUGGACAAUAUUAUUGCUGGCUACAAUAGUACUAUUUAUAAUAGUGCAAAUGAAUCAGAUUGAUUUUCUCCUUGAACACUAGAAUAUUUACUCUGAAUCAUCAAGGGCAAAAGGUCAAUUCCCCUCAAAAAGAUCAUGCAACCCUCUCUAUCAGAGGAUAAACAAUUCUUCAAGUAUUGAGGCGAGAAAAAUGACUUUGGGCCAGGCGUAGUGGCUCACAUCUGUAAUCCCAGCACUUUGGGAGGCCGAGGAGGGAGACCUCAGUUGAGGUCAGGAGUUUGAGACCAGCCUGGGUAAUAUGGUGAAACCCCGUCUCUACUAAAAACACAAAAAUUAGCUAGGCAUGGUAGCAGGUGCCUGUAAUCCCAGCUACUCGGGAGGCUGAGGCAGGAGAGUCACUUGAACCCAGGAGGUGGAGGUUGCAGUGAGCUACGAUUGCACUAUUGCACUCCAGCCUGGGUGACAGAGUGAGACUCCAUCUCAAAAAAAAAAAAAAAAAAGACAAGUGACUUUGUCCACUGGGUAGCCAAGCUUUCAUUUUGCUUAGUGACGGAGUCUAGUACUUGAGAUCCAUAUCAUAGCAACACAAAACUUCCAUUGAGGAUGUAGCUUUUCAUAUGCAUCAUUCCCUUCACUUCUCACAUUGGUGUCCACUGAGGCACAGAGACAUGGUACAGGAUACAAAUGGUGAUGCUGGAAAGCGAACCUAAGUCUGGCUGUACAAUCUACACACCUCACCACUGUGUGCUCAGCUGUAGGCUUAAUACUAGUGAGACAGGCAUGCUUACCUGUAUUUGUUCAUUAAUUUGUUCAAUAAAAAGGACUUUGUGUAAGGUUCUACAUCAGGUGCUUGGGACACAAAGUCAGGUAAUUUAUGAACCCUCCCUGCCCUUGCCAUUUCCAAUCUAAUGACAAACACAAAGAACCAAAGGGGCAAUUAAAAUAAUUAGUGUAAGUGCUAGAGCAGAAGAAGGGUGAGGCUGGGGAGGCACAGACACAGGGUGCAUAACCAUGUGAGUGUCAGUCAGAAAAGCCCUCCUGGGGGAGUUGGCUUCUGAGUUGAAUCCCAAGGGCUGAGCAGGGCUUAAUUAGAGGAAUUGGAGGACCCAGGUGAAAGCAACAUGCACCAAGGCCCAGAGCGGCAAAGGCCAGGCAUCAGGAACCUGGAGGAAGUUUACUUUGAGGAGGGUUUAUAUGAACAGGUUAGGAAAAGAGUUGAGAGACAAGCAGGAGGGGCUGGCUGGGGCCUAACCUAAAAUGGCCUCUCUGCUGUGAGAAAAGCUUGGGCUUUAUCCUGAUGGCAACAUCAAGCCAUUACAGUGUUUUAAGAGGAGGAGUAACAGGCUCAGCUUUUCUUCACAGGGGGAAGCUGCUGAUAGACACGGGAGGGAUGAACUUGCCUGCAGCUCUGCUCUUAGAUCACAGAGGCCCAAGUUCAACUGGCAUGGGGGCUGCAAACCUCCUGCCCAACAGCAUAUAUGACCAGAAAAAGAAAACAUCUGAAGAGAAUUAUGAACAUGCUACAUGCGUUUCUAAAGUAUAAAUGACUAAA
Long non-coding RNA from Pongo pygmaeus (Bornean orangutan), 3849 nucleotides. RefSeq lists it as uncharacterized. The transcript has 5 exons. The record is from RefSeq and is a predicted model, not a curated record. NCBI's taxonomy places the organism in Eukaryota, Metazoa, Chordata, Mammalia, Primates, Hominidae.